RNAcentral lists this ribosomal RNA (460 nucleotides) under uncultured bacterium. RNAcentral's name for it is "partial 16S ribosomal RNA". It matches the Rfam family "Bacterial small subunit ribosomal RNA", at positions 338 to 795 of the family's 1533-position model. The record is from RNAcentral.
CCUACGGGAGGCAGCAGUGAGGAAUAUUGGUCAAUGGGCGUGAGCCUGAACCAGCCAAGUCGCGUGAGGGAUGAAGGUUCUAUGGAUCGUAAACCUCUUUUAUAAAGGAAUAAAGUGAGGGACGUGUCCCGUUUUGUAUGUACUUUAUGAAUAAGGAUCGGCUAACUCCGUGCCAGCAGCCGCGGUAAUACGGAGGAUCCGAGCGUUAUCCGGAUUUAUUGGGUUUAAAGGGAGCGUAGGCGGGCUUUUAAGUCAGCGGUGAAAGUCUGUGGCUCAACCAUAGAAUUGCAAUUGAUACUGGGAGGCUUGAGUAUGUUUGAGGUAGGCGGAAUGCGUGGUGUAGCGGUGAAAUGCUUAGAUAUCACGAAGAACCCCGAUUGCGAAGGCAGCCUACCAAGCCAUGACUGACGCUGAUGCACGAAAGCGUGGGGAUCAAACAGGAUUAGAUACCCCUGUAGUC